Molecule: ribosomal RNA, 468 nt
Filed under: uncultured bacterium
Lineage: Bacteria
Description: partial 16S ribosomal RNA
Rfam family: Bacterial small subunit ribosomal RNA
Source: RNAcentral
GACGAACGCUGGCGGCGUGCUUAACACAUGCAAGUCGAACGGAAAGGCCCUGCUUUUGUGGGGUGCUCGAGUGGCGAACGGGUGAGUAACACGUGAGUAACCUGCCCUUGACUUUGGGAUAACUUCAGGAAACUGGGGCUAAUACCGGAUAGGAGCUCCUGCUGCAUGGUGGGGGUUGGAAAGUUUCGGCGGUUGGGGAUGGACUCGCGGCUUAUCAGCUUGUUGGUGGGGUAGUGGCUUACCAAGGCUUUGACGGGUAGCCGGCCUGAGAGGGUGACCGGCCACAUUGGGACUGAGAUACGGCCCAGACUCCUACGGGAGGCAGCAGUGGGGAAUAUUGCACAAUGGGCGGAAGCCUGAUGCAGCAACGCCGCGUGCGGGAUGAAGGCCUUCGGGUUGUAAACCGCUUUCGCCUGUGACGAAGUGUGAGUGACGGUAAUGGGUAAAGAAGCACCGGCUAACUACGUG